Molecule: ribosomal RNA, 708 nt
Filed under: uncultured bacterium
Lineage: Bacteria
Description: bacterial SSU rRNA
Rfam family: Bacterial small subunit ribosomal RNA
Source: RNAcentral
AGUGGCGGACGGGUGAGUAACACAUAGGAAUCUGCCCGAGAGUGGGGGAUAACCCAGGGAAACUUGGAUUAAUACCGCAUGAUCUCUACGGAGCAAAGCUGGGGACCUUCGGGCCUGGCGCUUUUGGAGGAGCCUAUGUCUGAUUAGCUUGUUGGUGAGGUAACGGCUCACCAAGGCGACGAUCAGUAACUGGUCUGAGAGGACGACCAGUCACACCGGAACUGAGACACGGUCCGGACUCCUACGGGAGGCAGCAGUGGGGAAUAUUGGACAAUGGGCGAAAGCCUGAUCCAGCAAUGCCGCGUGUGUGAAGAAGGCCUUCGGGUUGUAAAGCACUUUAGGAUGGAAAGAAAAAACUUCAGUUAAUAGCUGAAGUCUUGACGGUACCAUCAGAAUAAGCACCGGCUAACUCUGUGCCAGCAGCCGCGGUAAUACAGAGGGUGCAAGCGUUAAUCGGAUUUACUGGGCGUAAAGCGUGUGUAGGUGGUGGCGUAAGUCGAUUGUGAAAUCCCCGGGCUCAACCUGGGAACUGCUUUCGAUACUGCGUCACUAGAGUACGGUAGAGGGUGGUGGAAUUUCCGGUGUAGCGGUGAAAUGCGUAGAUAUCGGAAGGAACAUCAAUGGCGACGCACCACCUGGGCCUGUACUGACACUGAGACACGAAGCGUGGGGAACAAACAGGAUUAGAUUCCCUGGUAGUCCACGCCC